GAUCCGGUGGUUCUGAAUGGAAGGGCCAUCGCUCAACGGAUAAAAGGUACUCCGGGGAUAACAGGCUGAUACCGCCCAAGAGUUCAUAUCGACGGCGGGGUUUGGCACCUCGAUGUCGGCUCAUCACAUCCUGGGGCUGAAGUAGGUCCCAAGGGUAUGGCUGUUCGCCAUUUAAAGUGGUACGCGAGCUGGGUUUAGAACGUCGUGAGACAGUUCGGUCCCUAUCUGCCGUGGGCGCUGGAGAAUUGAGGGGGGCUGCUCCUAGUACGAGAGGACCGGAGUGGACGCAUCACUGGUGUUCGGGUUGUCAUGCCAAUGGCACUGCCCGGUAGCUAAAUGCGGAAGAGAUAAGUGCUGAAAGCAUCUAAGCACGAAACUUGCCCCGAGAUGAGUUCUCCCUGAGACUAUAAGUCUCCUGAAGGAACGUUAAAGACGAUGACGUUGAUAGGCCGGGUGUGUAAGCGCAGCGAUGCGUUGAGCUAACCGGUACUAAUGAACCGUGAGGCUUAACCUUACAACGCCGAAG
This 526-nucleotide ribosomal RNA is filed under the name Klebsiella pneumoniae. Its description in RNAcentral is "partial 23S ribosomal RNA". It matches the Rfam family "Bacterial large subunit ribosomal RNA", at positions 2417 to 2925 of the family's 2925-position model. The record is from RNAcentral. Lineage: Bacteria; Pseudomonadati; Pseudomonadota; Gammaproteobacteria; Enterobacterales; Enterobacteriaceae.